GACGAACGCUGGCGGCGUGCUUUACCCAUGCAAGUCGGACGGAGGGGGAAACCCCUCAGUGGCAGACGGCUGAGUAACACGUGAGUGACCUGCCCAGUUGUGGGGGAUAGCCCCUCGAAAGAGGGGGUAAUACCGCGUAAGCUGGCCCGAGUAGAGACGGGUCAGGAAAGCCGAGAGGCGCGACUGGAGGGGCUCGCGGCCCAUCAGGUAGUUGGUGAGGUAAGGGCUCACCAAGCCGAUGACGGGUAGCUGGUCUGAGAGGAUGAUCAGCCAGACUGGGACUGAGAGACGGCCCAGACUCCUACGGGGGGCAGCAGGGGGGAAUCUUGCACAAUGGGCGAAAGCCUGAUGCAGCGACGCCGCGUGGAGGACGAAGGUCUUCGGAUCGUAAACUCCUUUUGUCGGGGAAGAUGGUGACGGUACCCGGCGAAUAAGCCCCGGCUAACUACGUGCCAGCCGC
Molecule: ribosomal RNA, 460 nt
Filed under: uncultured bacterium
Lineage: Bacteria
Description: bacterial SSU rRNA
Rfam family: Bacterial small subunit ribosomal RNA
Source: RNAcentral